AGCAGUAGCCGCGGUAAUACGUAGGUGGCAAGCGUUGUCCGGAAUUAUUGGGCGUCAAGCGCGCGCAGGCGGUUUCUUAAGUCUGAUGUGAAAGCCCCCGGCUUAACCGGGGAGGGUCAUUGGAAACUGGGAGACUUAGAAUGCAGAAGAGGAGAGUGGAAUUCCAUGUGUAGCGGUGAAAUGCGUAGAUAUAUGGAGGAACACCAGUGGCGAAGGCGACUCUCUGGUCUGUAACUGACGCUGAGGCGCGAAAGCGUGGGGAGCAAACAGGAUUAGAUACCCCAGUAGUCCCUGUCUCUUAUA
This 303-nucleotide ribosomal RNA is filed under the name uncultured bacterium. RNAcentral's name for it is "partial 16S ribosomal RNA". It matches the Rfam family "Bacterial small subunit ribosomal RNA", at positions 507 to 808 of the family's 1533-position model. The record is from RNAcentral.